This 30-nucleotide non-coding RNA is filed under the name Mus musculus (house mouse). The record is from RNAcentral. Lineage: Eukaryota; Metazoa; Chordata; Mammalia; Rodentia; Muridae.
UGCCAUCUCUUCUGGCCUACACACUGGUUC